Rosa chinensis is the source of this 1128-nucleotide long non-coding RNA. RefSeq lists it as uncharacterized. The record is from RefSeq and is a predicted model, not a curated record. NCBI's taxonomy places the organism in Eukaryota, Viridiplantae, Streptophyta, Magnoliopsida, Rosales, Rosaceae. The transcript is spliced from 2 exons.
GGCAGCAAAACAAAAAGAGAGGCAACGAGAGAACAAAAAAGAGAGAGAGAGAGUGUAGAGGGGAAAAACGCAGGAGCAGAGAAAGAAGAGGAAGGGAAGAAGAGAAGAAUAAUUCGAAGCUAAGAAGAGACCACGAGAAGCUACAAACAUAGAGCAGUGGGUGAUCAUGUAAGACUAUGAGCACUCCAAACAAGAAGUUGAUGGUCUAUCCUCUCUCCAAAAGUCCCUCGUUGCUUCAUCCUCACAAAUAUCACCGACGGCUUCCGGGCAAGACACAAAGUCGACAUCAAGCCCUCAUUCACAGCCGUGGUGUCACUCCAUGCUGCACUUGCUUUCGCUGCCUAUAUUGCGGUGCGUCCUGCGUAUAGGUGGCGGAAGCAAGCUUCAAGUUCAAGGGGGUUCACCAUACUUGUUUUUGAUGCCUGUAUCGCGGUGCGUCCUGCAUAUGGGUGGCAAAAAUGAGUAUGUCAGGUGAAUGCCUGGUGGCUGCCAUUUCACGUCAAGUACGGUCCUACAAAGUUCCCGAGUUCAUAACAGUGGGGAAGCUGCUCCAGAAGGAUCCUCGUAUAGUGUUUCAACGCCAUGUUGUUGCUUCCACAUGCAUCAAAGAAGUCACCAAAGUCAUGUUCGGGAAACCCGCUCACAAGUUAGACUGCAGCAGCAAAUGGAAGAAAGAGGGGAGUUGCCUCACAAGAUGGCUGCAGAGAUGUUCGACGGAUACGUACAACACGGUGGCAUAAGCCCAAUUGGUAUGAAGGAUUGAACACAUUCAUUCAAUCCAUGGCAAAACUACCUCUGUGAAGUUAAGAACUACCUUUGCAAAUCAAUGGCUCGUACUACGUCUGCAAAGAAACAAGUCAGAAUGGUGGUCUUCUCCGAAAUUAUGUCUACAAAUGAAAGACAAUUGUUGCACUGCUACCAUCAAAAGAAACAUAUCGAAGAAGCUACAUGGCUGGUGGCUACAUGGCAACAUCUCUCUUAAUGCCAAGGCUCCACCGCUCCACCAUCUUAAUAAGGGGACACGAGUUCAUCCAAGAAAGGAGAAAGGAUACAAAUUAAAGACAAACUCCACCACUUCAAGUAUAAAUGAAUGGGAAUUAUGAAUCCCAUAUGAAAUAUGCCACUUGA